GUAUUAGUGAUAUUAAAUAAGG
This 22-nucleotide small nuclear RNA is filed under the name Arabidopsis thaliana (thale cress). Its description in RNAcentral is "snRNA_01858". The record is from RNAcentral. Lineage: Eukaryota; Viridiplantae; Streptophyta; Magnoliopsida; Brassicales; Brassicaceae.